ACGGGAGGCAGCAGUGGGGAAUAUUGGGCAAUGGGCGCAAGCCUGACCCAGCAACGCCGCGUGAAGGAUGAAGGUCUUCGGAUUGUAAACUUCUUUGAUUGGGGACGAAUAAAUGACCUACCCAAAGAACAAGCCACGGCUAACUACGUGCCAGCAGCCGCGGUAAUACGAAGGUGGCAAGCGUUAUCCGGAUUUACUGGGUGUAAAGGGCGUGUAGGCGGCUUUGCAAGUCAGAUGUGAAAUUCCCGAGCUCAACUCGGGCGCUGCAUCUGAAACUGUAAAGCUUGAGUACUGGAGGGGAAAGCGGAAUUCCUAGUGUAGCGGUAAAAUGCAUAGAUAUUAGGAGGAACACCGGUGGCGAAGGCGACUUUCUGGACAGUAACUGACGCUGAGGCGCGAAAGCGUGGGGAGCAAACAGGAUUAGAUACCCUGGUA
This 435-nucleotide ribosomal RNA is filed under the name uncultured Saccharofermentans sp. RNAcentral describes it as "partial 16S ribosomal RNA". It matches the Rfam family "Bacterial small subunit ribosomal RNA", at positions 341 to 792 of the family's 1533-position model. The record is from RNAcentral. Lineage: Bacteria; Bacillati; Bacillota; Clostridia; Eubacteriales; Oscillospiraceae.